Molecule: transfer RNA, 71 nt
Filed under: Bacilli bacterium
Lineage: Bacteria; Bacillati; Bacillota; Bacilli
Description: tRNA-Trp
Rfam family: tRNA
About the family: Transfer RNA (tRNA) molecules are approximately 80 nucleotides in length. Their secondary structure includes four short double-helical elements and three loops (D, anti-codon, and T loops). Further hydrogen bonds mediate the characteristic L-shaped molecular structure. tRNAs have two regions of fundamental functional importance: the anti-codon, which is responsible for specific mRNA codon recognition, and the 3' end, to which the tRNAs corresponding amino acid is attached (by aminoacyl-tRNA synthetases). tRNAs cope with the degeneracy of the genetic code in two manners: having more than one tRNA (with a specific anti-codon) for a particular amino acid; and 'wobble' base-pairing, i.e. permitting non-standard base-pairing at the 3rd anti-codon position.
Source: RNAcentral
GGGGGUGUAGUUUAACGGAAAAGCGUUGAUCUCCAAAAUCAAAAUUGGGGGUUCGACUCCCCUCACCUCCA